RNAcentral lists this ribosomal RNA (485 nucleotides) under uncultured bacterium. RNAcentral describes it as "partial 16S ribosomal RNA". It matches the Rfam family "Bacterial small subunit ribosomal RNA", at positions 29 to 523 of the family's 1533-position model. The record is from RNAcentral.
AGUGAACGCUGGCGGCGUGCUUAACACAUGCAAGUCGAACGAGAACGGAAUAUAGCUUGCUAUAUUUGUCAGCUAAGUGGCGCACGGGUGAGUAAUGUAUCGAUAACAUGCUCUUAAGAAAGGAAUAACAGCUGGAAACGACUGCUAAUGCCCUAUAUGCCUUUAAUACAUAAGUAUGCAAGGGAAACGCUUUAGUGCUUAAGGAUGGGUCUGUAUGGUAUCAGCUUGUUGGUGAGGUAAUGGCUCACCAAGGCUAUGACGCCUAACUGGUUUGAGAGGAUGAUCAGUCACACUGGAACUGAGACACGGUCCAGACUGCUACGGGAGGCAGCAGUGGGGAAUAUUGCACAAUGGACGAAAGUCUGAUGCAGCAACGCCGCGUGGAGGAUGACACAUUUCGGUGCGUAAACUCCUUUUAUACAGGAAGAUAAUGACGGUACUAUAUGAAUAAGCACCGGCUAACUCCGUGCCAGCAGCCGCCGUAA